RNAcentral lists this transfer RNA (75 nucleotides) under Candidatus Shapirobacteria bacterium CG09_land_8_20_14_0_10_49_15. Its description in RNAcentral is "tRNA-Asn". It matches the Rfam family "tRNA". Rfam says of the family: Transfer RNA (tRNA) molecules are approximately 80 nucleotides in length. Their secondary structure includes four short double-helical elements and three loops (D, anti-codon, and T loops). The record is from RNAcentral. Lineage: Bacteria; Candidatus Shapironibacteriota.
UCCGCGGUAGCUCAAUGGUAGAGUGGUCGACUGUUAAUCGACUGGUUGUAGGUUCGAAUCCUACCCGCGGAGCCA